GCCGGCCUGAGAGGGCGACCGGCCACACUGGGACUGAKACACGGCCCAUUACUCCUACGGGAGGCAGCAGUGGGGAAUAUUGCACAAUGGGCGAAAGCCUGAUGCAGCGACGCCGCGUGAGGGAUGACGGCCUUCGGGUUGUAAACCUCUUUCAGCAGGGAAGAAGCGAAAGUGACGGUACCUGCAGAAGAAGCGCCGGCUAACUACGUGCCAGCAGCCGCGGUAAUACGUAGGGCGCAAGCGUUGUCCGGAAUUAUUGGGCGUAAAGAGCUCGUAGGCGGCUUGUCACGUCGGUUGUGAAAGCCCGGGGYUUAACCCCGGGUCUGCAGUCGAUACGGGCAGGCUAGAGUUCGGUAGGGGAGAUCGGAAUUCCUGGUGUAGCGGUGAAAUGCGCAGAUAUCAGGAGGAACACCGGUGGCGAAGGCGGAUCUCUGGGCCGAUACUGACGCUGAGGAGCGAAAGCGUGGGGAGCGAACAGGAUUAGAUACCCUGGUAGUCCACGCCGUAAACGGUGGGCACUAGGUGUGGGCAACAUUCCACGUUGUCCGUGCCGCAGYUAACGCAUUAAGUGCCCCGCCUGGGGAGUACGGCCGCAAGGCUAAAACUCAAAGGAAUUGACGGGGGCCCGCACAAGCGGCGGAGCAUGUGGCUUAAUUCGACGCAACGCGAAGAACCUUACCAAGGCUUGACAUACACCGGAAACACCCAKAGAUGGKUGCCCCCUUGUGGUCGGUGUACAGGUGGUGCAUGGCUGUCGUCWGYUCGUGUCGUGAGAUGUUGGGUUWAGUCCCGCAACGAGCGCAACCCCUUGUCCCGUGUUGCAGCAGGCCCUUGUGGUGCUGGG
RNAcentral lists this ribosomal RNA (844 nucleotides) under Streptomyces sp. RNAcentral describes it as "bacterial SSU rRNA". It matches the Rfam family "Bacterial small subunit ribosomal RNA", at positions 286 to 1145 of the family's 1533-position model. Lineage: Bacteria; Bacillati; Actinomycetota; Actinomycetes; Kitasatosporales; Streptomycetaceae. The record is from RNAcentral.